This 465-nucleotide ribosomal RNA is filed under the name uncultured bacterium. RNAcentral describes it as "bacterial SSU rRNA". It matches the Rfam family "Bacterial small subunit ribosomal RNA", at positions 338 to 795 of the family's 1533-position model. The record is from RNAcentral.
CCUACGGGCCGCAGCAGUAGGGAAUCUUCGGCAAUGGACGAAAGUCUGACCGAGCAUCGCCGCGUGAGUGAAGAAGGUUUUCGGAUCGUAAAACUCUGUUGGUAGAGAAGAACGUUGGUGAGAGUGGAAAGCCCAUCAAGUGACGGUAACUACCCAGAAAGGGACGGCUAACUACGUGCCAGCAGCCGCGGUAAUACGUAGGUCCCGAGCGUUGUCCGGAUUUAUUGGGCGUAAAGCGAGCGCAGGUGGUUUAUUGAGUCUGGUGUAAAAGGCAGUGGCUCAGCCAUUGUAUGCAUUGGAAACUGGUAGACUUGAGUGCAGGAGAGGAGAGUGGAAUUCCAUGUGUAGCGGUGAAAUGCGUAGAUAUAUGGAGGGACACCGGUGGCGAAAGCGGCUCUCUGGCCUGUAACUGACACUGAGGCUCAAAAGCGUGGGGAGCAAACAGGAUUAGAUACCCCAGUAGUC